AUGAAGUGCCAGGACCACCAGAAGCAUUACAUGGUGGCCUGCUUUCUUUACUCAUCUCCUUGGGUAGAUUCCAGCUCGCCUAAUUUCCUUUCUUGGCAAAAGAGGAGGGACUGGUCGGACGAAUCUGAGGAGGAGCUGGAGAAGGAGACAGAGAAGGAGCGCGCCCCUGAGCCUGAGGAGACCUGGGUGCUGGACACCCUGUGUGGGCUCAAGAUGAAGCUAAAAAGACGGCGAGUGUCACCCGUGCUCCCUAAGAACUACGAGGCCUUCAACACGCUGCUUGGUCCCAGUUCGCCUUGGUUCCUUUGCCGGAAAAGGAAGAGGGAGUGGUCGGACCAAUCUGAGGAGGAGACUGAGGAGGGGACCGAGGAGGAGACAGAGAAGGAGCGUACCCCUGAGCCUGAGAACUGGGUGCUGGAGACGCUUCAGGCGCUGAAGAUGAAACUGAAGCGACAGCGAGUGUCACCCAAGCUCCAUAAGCACCACCAGGCCUUCAACAGGCUGAUUGCCGACCUCAGCCGGAGGUCUCUCCUGGUGGUGCCCCUGAGCAGCAGCCUGAUUUCUGCCCCCAGCUACCUGGCCAAUGACAUGGAGGAAGACGACGAGGGCCCCCAAACAAGCCAUCUUCUACUUCCUGUAUGGGAAGAACCGCUCCCAGCAACCCUUGUUCCAGAAGCUUUACUUCUAGUUCUUCUGUUCCAUGCACUGCAGGGCUUGGGUUUCCCUGAAGAAGCUGGAGGAGAUCCAGGCUUAUGACCCAGAGCACUGGGUGUGGGCACGAAAUCAUGCCCUCCUUUCCUAGAGCUCCAGGGACCAUGGAGGCCUGAGGUCAUCGGCCUGAGGGAAGUAUGUCUUCGUCCCCCAGGGUCAAGGCAGAAUAUUGUGUCUAUUUAGGAAACCCAAGGAACCCAAUUGCUUGACCCGGCUUCAAGCCUGGGCAACAUGGCGAGAUCCACUCUCCACAAAAAUUCACAUAUUAGCUGGGCAGGGUAGGAGGCAUCUCUAUUCCCAACUACUCGGGAGGCUGAGGAAGGAUCACUGGAGCCUGGGGGGUCGGGGCUGCAGGGAGCCCUGACCCUGCCACUGUACUCCAGCCUGGUCAACACAGCGAGACCCUGUCUCAAAAUUCAUCAGAAAUACUGAGUUCCGGGAGGUUCUGUAGGAUUGACACACUUGGAUUACCUAUUUGGGUCAGGGAUUCAGUGAAGCUUUGGUUUACAUCUUGUGCAGCUAACCACGUUGAGGACUCAGCAUGAGACUUAAACAUUAGGAAGUAGGAUUAUGGAUUAGGCUCCGGGACUCAUGAUUCGUGAUGUUGUCACGUUAGAAACGUAUCUAGUGUGGUUACCAGUUUAGAUCUUAAGUGACACAAAAGGCCCCACGUGUGAUGAAGUCUAAAGCCACAUUGUCUGAGGGUGCUGUACUCCCUGGGCAGACCCACACAAAGUCCUGGCUAGGAAGCAGAUCACUGGGGAUGGCCUUGGGUGUAUUAAGUGAGUUUUGGAGUCAGGGUCACCAAAGUGUGCGUAUCACAAUUGAACACCACGGUUCAGAAGCAGGCUAGA
Molecule: non-coding RNA, 1565 nt
Organism: Saimiri boliviensis boliviensis (Bolivian squirrel monkey)
Lineage: Eukaryota; Metazoa; Chordata; Mammalia; Primates; Cebidae
Source: RefSeq, a predicted model, not a curated record